UUUCUUUUUUCGGGGCCACACUCGUGGCAUAUGGAAGUUCCCAGGCUAGGGGUCAAAUCAGAGCUGCAGCUGAUGGUCUAGACCACAGCCACAGCAACACAGGAUCAGAGCUGCAUCUGCGGCCUACACCACAGCUCACGGCAACACCACAUCCUUAACCCACUGAGCAAGGCCAGGAACUGAACCUGAGUCCUCAUGGAUACUAGUCAGGUUCAUUACUGCUGAGCCACAGUGGGAACUCCCCAAGUAAAAACUUCUACUUGUGCAUGGACUUUAUCUGGAAACAGUAACAGGACUCUGUCACUAUGGAAAUAUAAACACCAUCACUCAGCCAGAUGCCUCUUGUUUGCUAAGGACAAACACCCUCAUGGACUCGAUGUGGCUUUUCAAGCGGUUUCUCCUCUUGACUUAAAGAAGGGAUUUUAUCUGAAAAAUGGAAAUGAAGAAGGAGACCAAAUUCCAAGUAGCUUUCAAAACCCCACUCUGAAUUUAGAGACUCUCCUUAGAUAACUGGGAAAUGGACCAGGAUCCUUUCAGGGUCAGUGUUUCAUACGGUGCGGGAUGGGGCCGGAUUAACUCACUGCAUCUGUAAAUGCCAUCCAAAAGUGUGGUCCAGUUCCAGAAAGGGGUCGAGUUAGACAAUGACAGUGGCAGCUGUCAUUUUUUUCUGCACCUGCUUACAAACUGCCAGGUACUGUACUAGUCACUUUAGAGGUACUGCAAUUUAAUCUUCAUAACUGUCCUAUGAAAUAGAUCCCAUUUUACGGAUGAGGAAACUGAGUCACAGAGACGUUAAGGAGCUUGCCCAGAGGCAUACAUACACGACUGGUGAAAGAACCAGGAUUUGGAGGCAAGGGGUCAAUGGUGAGAGAUGACCUUAACCUCUGGGCUGUGGGGGGAGAAUGGGGAGGAGGAAGCUCACUGCUCUUUCAAAGAUAAAGUGACUUUCCCAAGAGCCAACCCUACCCAUGGGCUCCUGGUACACACAAGACUGCUUUUCAAGGCUUUUCGAAAACCACCCAAGACACACAUUAUAUGAAUCCCCCGGAGCUGUCUGAAUAUCAGGAUAGAGGCGUAUUUCAGUUGGGUUCUAUGGUCAGGUGUUUCGGGAAACGAUGGCGAAAAAAGCCCAGGGAGCCCUCGGGAUGAGACCCCCCCCCCCAUGGGCUCGGGCCCACAGUGGUGAACCAAGGGCUGGCCUGGGAGCAGGGGCCCACGUGCUCGGCACAGGCCCAGCGGGGGCCGGGGGGGGGGGAAUCUUAAGGCUGAGAGCACAGGGACAAGACUCACGCAAACAGAAGGCUUUGCUCCUGAGAAAUGCUGCUCCCACUUUGCUCUGGGUUCUUAACCCCCUCCC
This 1357-nucleotide long non-coding RNA is filed under the name Sus scrofa (pig). Its description in RNAcentral is "lncRNA (ENSSSCG00005006750.1)". The record is from RNAcentral. Lineage: Eukaryota; Metazoa; Chordata; Mammalia; Artiodactyla; Suidae.